UGGGAGCCGCAGCCCCGAGCCCGGUCGCCUCACUUGGCGGACGUGAGGCCUGUAGUAAAGAGUGAGGCCUGAGGUAGAUUACCCCUCCCAUCGAAUAUGUUAGUUUCCUGCUUACCGCGUAAACAACCCGCUCAACAAUAUAGUCUGCCUGGCAACUGAUGAUGUUAGCCAAUCAGCUUGCCUUGCUUACUUUAACAUGAUUGGACACUGUACCCGUAUAUAUACCGGUGCCACCCCUGGGCGGAAGAGGAAGCCAGGUAGAAGCCCGGAAGUAGAAGCCCAAAAGGAGCCGCGGAGAGCGGACCGGUAGAGGCUUUGGGGCAGACUGAAGCACAAAAGGAGCCGCGGGGAGCGGACCAGAGGAGGCUUCAGCUGGGAGAACCCAGGGCAGGCUGUACGGAGAAGGAAAAUAAAAAGAAAAGGUUGUCCACUACCAGACUUUGUCGUGUGUCCUUCCUGCCGGCCGGGAGCGGACAUCGACAUUUGGAGGCCCGCCCGGGGACUGAUCACCCCCGCGACGUGGAAGUGGACAACGCUCCAGUACAGAGCUGCGAGACAGGAACCGGGACGAGAACCACUGUGGAUACCGGAGAGACUGACACGGGCAACAAAGCCCUCGACUAAAGAUCAGACCUGCCCUACUGGAGAUCCAUCACAGACCAACCAAUAAGAUGAAUAGAAAUAGCGGUAGCCCGAAAUGGACAAGAAGAUCCUCAGGCAUAUGCAUGGCUUGCUCAAUCGGCCCACGACCGAGUCUAGAUAUGGCGGGCAUCCCUCAUUCUCCUCCAUAAGGUGACAAUACACAGCAGGGUAGGUGAGUCAAUGACGGGUAAGAGCGUGCCUCCCCAGCACGACUCGACCUAAGCCAGGCCCUACCCCAUCCUGCACGUAAGCCGCUGGACUGUUAGAUGCUGCCCAGGUCUAAAUUUCUCUCCGAGGGGAUUUCUUUACGGAGAGGAAAUGAGUGCAAGCUUGUGUGCAUCCAGGUUCCGUCCAGUUUGUGCCUGGCCCUAGAAAAAGGACGAGGGCCUCAGGGCCUUGGCAGACCAUGGGACGGCCGACCAGGGUCUAAGCCAAGGACCUACGGUGGGCCUACGCAUAGGGCAUAAGCCUCUGCACCCAGUCCAGGAAGGGCUACGAUGCGCACAUUCAUAAAAAAUAAAAAAGGGGGAGAUGUUGGGAGCCGCAGCCCCGAGCCCGGUCGCCUCACUUGGCGGACGUGAGGCCUGUAGUAAAGAGUGAGGCCUGAGGUAGAUUACCCCUCCCAUCGAAUAUGUUAGUUUCCUGCUUACCGCGUAAACAACCCGCUCAACAAUAUAGUCUGCCUGGCAACUGAUGAUGUUAGCCAAUCAGCUUGCCUUGCUUACUUUAACAUGAUUGGACACUGUACCCGUAUAUAUACCGGUGCCACCCCUGGGCGGAAGAGGAAGCCAGGUAGAAGCCCGGAAGUAGAAGCCCAAAA
Molecule: long non-coding RNA, 1462 nt
Organism: Cavia porcellus (domestic guinea pig)
Lineage: Eukaryota; Metazoa; Chordata; Mammalia; Rodentia; Caviidae
Exons: 2
Source: RefSeq, a predicted model, not a curated record